CCUACUCACACUCUUAUAUCUCUGUCUCUCUUGAUGCGCCUACCCUUCCUCGCUCCAAACCCAAGCAAAACCCCACUAUUCCAUCUCAUCUUGCUCUCUCACUCGCUCCGAUCCAACUCUGUCAACUUGCCCAGACGUUUCUUAACUCGGAGAUCGUCACUUCCUAGAAUGGCGAUCCCUCCUAAGCUAGUAUCCUCUUCCUCUUCUUCUUUCCCUACUACUGCUAGAGGAAGCAGCGAGGAAGGUCUCGCUAAUAAAUUGUGGAUCAAGUUCCGCCGAGAAUCGAUUUUCGCUAUGUACACUCCCUUCGUCGUUUGUUUGGCUGCUGGAAACCUUAAGAUUGAGACUUUUAGGCAUUGCAUCUCCCAAGAUUUUCACUUCCUCAAAGCCUUUGCCCAUGCUUCUCAGCAGGGUUAGAUUGUUAUUAUCUGGGAAAAAGUGAUUACAUUAUCUGAGGCGAGUUUCAAAAUAUGGAACUUCCUUGUAUGAUGGAUAAUGGAAGUAUAUAAAAGCUCUUGCCUUGAUCUUAAUCUACAUUAUUACAAUAGGAUGCUUAUUUUGGUGUGUUCAAUUUGCUUCUUUUUUUUAUUACAAUUUUAGGUAUAAAUUGGCAGAAGAGUGUGCUGAUGAUGAUGAUGCAAAGCUAGCUAUCACCAAGUUGAGGAAGGGGGUCUUAGAGGAGCUAAAGAUGCACAAUUCAUUUGUACAGGAAUGGGGUAUAGACCCUUCUAAAGAUGGGGCUAUCAAUUCUGCAACCGUAAAAUACACAGAUUUCUUGUUGGCUACUGCCUCUGGGAAGGUUGAAGGAGUUAAAGGUCCUGGUAAACUUGCGACUCCUUUUGAAAGAACAAAAGUUGCAGCUUAUACUCUUGGUGCCAUGACACCUUGCAUGCGGCUGUAUGCCUUUCUUGCUAAGGAGUUGCAAGCACUUAUAGAUUCAGAGGAUGGUAGUCAUCCUUACCAGAAGUGGUUUGACAAUUACUCAUCUGAGGGUUUUCAGGCAUCAGCUCUGCAAACUGAAGACUUGCUGGAUAAACUUAGUGUCCCUUUGACAGGCGAAGAGCUUGACAUCAUUGAAAAGCUUUAUCACCAAGCCAUGAAACUGGAAAUAGAGUUCUUCAAUGUGCAGCCACUUGCACAGUCCACUGUGGUUCCUCUAACAAAAGAGCAUAACCCUGUAGAAGAUCGCCUUGUGAUAUUUUCUGAUUUUGAUUUGACAUGCACCAUUUUUUAUUCCUCUGCCAUUUUGGCAGAGAUUGCAAUUGUAAUGGCACCAAAAUCUGAUCAGGCUCAACCGGAGAAUCAAAUUGCUAGGAUGUCAUCAGCUGAGCUGAGGAAAGCUUGGGUUCUUCUCUCUGGACAGUAUACAGAAGAGUAUGAACAAUGCAUUGAAAGCAUUCUGCCCCCUGAAAAAGUGGAGUUCAACUAUGAAGUUCUGUGUAAAGCACUUGAGCAACUUUCAGACUUUGAGCGAAAGGCAAAUGCUAGAGUGGUUGAAUCUGGAGUUCUCAAGGGUCUGAAUCUUGAAGACAUAAAAAGAGCUGGUGAACGACUGAUUCUUCAAGAUGGUUGCAC
This 1575-nucleotide unclassified non-coding RNA is filed under the name Hevea brasiliensis (rubber tree). The record is from RNAcentral. Lineage: Eukaryota; Viridiplantae; Streptophyta; Magnoliopsida; Malpighiales; Euphorbiaceae.